GGUUAAGCGACUAAGCGUACACGGUGGAUGCCCUGGCAGUCAGAGGCGAUGAAGGACGUGCUAAUCUGCGAUAAGCGUCGGUAAGGUGAUAUGAACCGUUAUAACCGGCGAUUUCCGAAUGGGGAAACCCAGUGUGUUUCGACACACUAUCAUUAACUGAAUACAUAGGUUAAUGAGGCGAACCGGGGGAACUGAAACAUCUAAGUACCCCGAGGAAAAGAAAUCAACCGAGAUUCCCCCAGUAGCGGCGAGCGAACGGGGAGCAGCCCAGAGCCUGAAUCAGUGUGUGUGUUAGUGGAAGCGUCUGGAAAGGCGCGCGAUACAGGGUGACAGCCCCGUACACAAAAAUGCACAUGCUGUGAGCUCGAUGAGUAGGGCGGGACACGUGGUAUCCUGUCUGAAUAUGGGGGGACCAUCCUCCAAGGCUAAAUACUCCUGACUGACCGAUAGUGAACCAGUACCGUGAGGGAAAGGCGAAAAGAACCCCGGCGAGGGGAGUGAAAAAGAACCUGAAACCGUGUACGUACAAGCAGUGGGAGCACGCUUAGGCGUGUGACUGCGUACCUUUUGUAUAAUGGGUCAGCGACUUAUAUUCUGUAGCAAGGUUAACCGAAUAGGGGAGCCGAAGGGAAACCGAGUCUUAACUGGGCGUUAAGUUGCAGGGUAUAGACCCGAAACCCGGUGAUCUAGCCAUGGGCAGGUUGAAGGUUGGGUAACACUAACUGGAGGACCGAACCGACUAAUGUUGAAAAAUUAGCGGAUGACUUGUGGCUGGGGGUGAAAGGCCAAUCAAACCGGGAGAUAGCUGGUUCUCCCCGAAAGCUAUUUAGGUAGCGCCUCGUGAAUUCAUCUCCGGGGGUAGAGCACUGUUUCGGCAAGGGGGUCAUCCCGACUUACCAACCCGAUGCAAACUGCGAAUACCGGAGAAUGUUAUCACGGGAGACACACGGCGGGUGCUAACGUCCGUCGUGAAGAGGGAAACAACCCAGACCGCCAGCUAAGGUCCCAAAGUCAUGGUUAAGUGGGAAACGAUGUGGGAAGGCCCAGACAGCCAGGAUGUUGGCUUAGAAGCAGCCAUCAUUUAAAGAAAGCGUAAUAGCUCACUGGUCGAGUCGGCCUGCGCGGAAGAUGUAACGGGGCUAAACCAUGCACCGAAGCUGCGGCAGCGACGCUGAUGCGUUGUUGGGUAGGGGAGCGUUCUGUAAGCCUGCGAAGGUGUGCUGUGAGGCAUGCUGGAGGUAUCAGAAGUGCGAAUGCUGACAUAAGUAACGAUAAAGCGGGUGAAAAGCCCGCUCGCCGGAAGACCAAGGGUUCCUGUCCAACGUUAAUCGGGGCAGGGUGAGUCGACCCCUAAGGCGAGGCCGAAAGGCGUAGUCGAUGGGAAACAGGUUAAUAUUCCUGUACUUGGUGUUACUGCGAAGGGGGGACGGAGAAGGCUAUGUUGGCCGGGCGACGGUUGUCCCGGUUUAAGCGUGUAGGCUGGUUUUCCAGGCAAAUCCGGAAAAUCAAGGCUGAGGCGUGAUGACGAGGCACUACGGUGCUGAAGCAACAAAUGCCCUGCUUCCAGGAAAAGCCUCUAAGCAUCAGGUAACAUCAAAUCGUACCCCAAACCGACACAGGUGGUCAGGUAGAGAAUACCAAGGCGCUUGAGAGAACUCGGGUGAAGGAACUAGGCAAAAUGGUGCCGUAACUUCGGGAGAAGGCACGCUGAUAUGUAGGUGAAGUCCCUCGCGGAUGGAGCUGAAAUCAGUCGAAGAUACCAGCUGGCUGCAACUGUUUAUUAAAAACACAGCACUGUGCAAACACGAAAGUGGACGUAUACGGUGUGACGCCUGCCCGGUGCCGGAAGGUUAAUUGAUGGGGUUAGCCGCAAGGCGAAGCUCUUGAUCGAAGCCCCGGUAAACGGCGGCCGUAACUAUAACGGUCCUAAGGUAGCGAAAUUCCUUGUCGGGUAAGUUCCGACCUGCACGAAUGGCGUAAUGAUGGCCAGGCUGUCUCCACCCGAGACUCAGUGAAAUUGAACUCGCUGUGAAGAUGCAGUGUACCCGCGGCAAGACGGAAAGACCCCGUGAACCUUUACUAUAGCUUGACACUGAACAUUGAGCCUUGAUGUGUAGGAUAGGUGGGAGGCUUAGAAGUGUGGACGCCAGUCUGCAUGGAGCCGACCUUGAAAUACCACCCUUUAAUGUUUGAUGUUCUAACGUGGACCCGUAAUCCGGGUUGCGGACAGUGUCUGGUGGGUAGUUUGACUGGGGCGGUCUCCUCCUAAAGAGUAACGGAGGAGCACGAAGGUUGGCUAAUCCUGGUCGGACAUCAGGAGGUUAGUGCAAUGGCAUAAGCCAGCUUGACUGCGAGCGUGACGGCGCGAGCAGGUGCGAAAGCAGGUCAUAGUGAUCCGGUGGUUCUGAAUGGAAGGGCCAUCGCUCAACGGAUAAAAGGUACUCCGGGGAUAACAGGCUGAUACCGCCCAAGAGUUCAUAUCGACGGCGGUGUUUGGCACCUCGAUGUCGGCUCAUCACAUCCUGGGGCUGAAGUAGGUCCCAAGGGUAUGGCUGUUCGCCAUUUAAAGUGGUACGCGAGCUGGGUUUAGAACGUCGUGAGACAGUUCGGUCCCUAUCUGCCGUGGGCGCUGGAGAACUGAGGGGGGCUGCUCCUAGUACGAGAGGACCGGAGUGGACGCAUCACUGGUGUUCGGGUUGUCAUGCCAAUGGCACUGCCCGGUAGCUAAAUGCGGAAGAGAUAAGUGCUGAAAGCAUCUAAGCACGAAACUUGCCCCGAGAUGAGUUCUCCCUGACUCCUUGAGAGUCCUGAAGGAACGUUGAAGACGACGACGUUGAUAGGCCGGGUGUGUAAGCGCAGCGAUGCGUUGAGCUAACCGGUACUAAUGAACCGUGAGGCUUAACCUU
Molecule: ribosomal RNA, 2906 nt
Filed under: Escherichia coli
Lineage: Bacteria; Pseudomonadati; Pseudomonadota; Gammaproteobacteria; Enterobacterales; Enterobacteriaceae
Description: 23S ribosomal RNA
Rfam family: Bacterial large subunit ribosomal RNA
Source: RNAcentral